This 253-nucleotide ribosomal RNA is filed under the name uncultured bacterium. RNAcentral describes it as "partial 16S ribosomal RNA". It matches the Rfam family "Bacterial small subunit ribosomal RNA", at positions 524 to 776 of the family's 1533-position model. The record is from RNAcentral.
UACGGGGGGGGCAAGCGUUGUUCGGAAUUACUGGGCGUAAAGGGCUCGUAGGUGGCCAACUAAGUCGGACGUGAAAUCCCUCAGCUUAACUGGGGAACUGCGUCCGAUACUGGAUGGCUCGAGUUUGGGAGAGGGAUGCGGAAUUCCAGGUGUAGCGGUGAAAUGCGUAGAUAUCUGGAGGAACACCCGUGGCGAAGGCGGCUUUCUGGCCCACCACUGACGCUGAGACGCGAAAGCUAGGGGAGCGGACGGG